This is a long non-coding RNA of Panicum virgatum (switchgrass), 699 nucleotides long. RefSeq lists it as uncharacterized. The transcript has 2 exons. The record is from RefSeq and is a predicted model, not a curated record. NCBI's taxonomy places the organism in Eukaryota, Viridiplantae, Streptophyta, Magnoliopsida, Poales, Poaceae.
CCUUUCCCCAAAACCACCUCUGCCACCUGGAGCUCGAGAGCUCGGUGCCGCUGCCGAACUGCUGCCCCGCUGCCUCCCCGACGCCUUCAACCACCGCCGAAGCUCCACCGGAGGAUUGCUUCGAGUAGAAGGAUCGUUGUUUGAAGCUUGAAGAAUCAAAACGCUUUGUAUUAGCAAGAGCUGAAGAGUAGUAAGAAUAGUUUUUGUUGGAAAAAGGCAAGUGAUCCUAACCAUACUUCUGUCUAUGCUUAUUUAUAAGAAUAUUUUAUUUAAUUGGAACAUGGAGAACUACUCAAGAAAAUAGUACAAUCACAAUACCAAAUGGGCUCUGGUCUUGGCUAAUUAAUUAGAGACUCUAGCUUGUGACAGUCUUACUGAAAGGGCAAGAGGGGAUGCAUCAACGUGGUAUAGCUCGGUCCACUUGGGGUAACUGCCUUUGCUAAGGAGCUGACCAUUAGGGAGGGUUAUGACCAUUAAGAAGGUGUGAGAAGUUUUUCGAAGAUGAUGUUGAGUUCUAGGCGUACGCGACCCCCGGUCGAUUGCUUGUGAAGUUUGAAGCCUUUGUUUCCAGGAUAAGAUGUAUAACUCUGAUAGUCUUUUAAUCAUUGUUUAAUUCUCUCUUUCGUGAUACUAUUACCGAUCAUUCAUUUAUAAUGUCACUAUAUGUAUGAAAUUUGAUUCUGGCAUACAUAUGGUUAU